GAUGAAGAACGCAGCGAAAUGCGAUAAGUAAUGUGAAUUGCAGAAUUCAGUGAAUCAUCGAAUCUUUGAACGCACCUUGCACCCUUUGGUAUUCCGAAGGGUAUGCUCGUUUGAGUGUCAUUGUACUCUCACACUUCUAAUUCCUUUCGGGAUUGGGAGCGGUGGACUUGGGUGUUGCUGCUUUAGUUGUGGCUCACCUCAAAUAAGUUAGUGCAACUCUUGGUUGGACAUAGUACGGCGUGAUAAGUGUCUUCGCCGGCGCCUCUGUAAGGAGGGUGGCCGAUCGGGUGCUCUGUGCUUCAAACCGUCUUCUGACAAUCUUUGACAACUUGACCUCAAAUCGAGUAGGACUACCCGCUGAACUUAAGCAUAUCAAUAAGCGGAGGA
This 387-nucleotide unclassified non-coding RNA is filed under the name soil metagenome. RNAcentral describes it as "partial contains 5.8S ribosomal RNA, internal transcribed spacer 2, and large subunit ribosomal RNA". The stretch from base 1 to 120 matches the Rfam family "5.8S ribosomal RNA", at positions 35 to 154 of the family's 154-position model. The record is from RNAcentral.